This 963-nucleotide ribosomal RNA is filed under the name Protoperidinium americanum. Its description in RNAcentral is "LSU rRNA". It matches the Rfam family "Eukaryotic large subunit ribosomal RNA", at positions 23 to 1021 of the family's 3401-position model. Lineage: Eukaryota; Dinophyceae; Peridiniales; Protoperidiniaceae. The record is from RNAcentral.
ACCCGCUGAAUUUAAGCAUAUAAGUAAGCGGAGGAAAAGAAACUCAAGAGGAUUCCCUUAGUAAUGGCGAAUGAACAGGGGUAAGCUCAGAGUGGAAAUCGGGGCCUUCUGGCUUCGAAUUGUGAUCUCGAGAUGUACAACCAGCAUGGGGUACAGGUAUAAGCCUUUUGGAAAAGAGCACCAGCGAGGGUGAGAGUCCCAUUCGUUACCUGUAAACCCCAGUGCAUGGUGUGCGUUCUAAGAGUCACGCUCCUCGGGAUUGGAGCGCAAAGUGGGUGGUAAAUUUCAUCUAAAGCUAAAUACGGGCCUGAGACCGAUAGCACACAAGUACCCUGAGGGAAAGGUGAAAAGGACUUUGGAAAGAGAGUUAAACAGAGCCUGCCAUUGCUGAAAGGGAAGCGAACGAAAUCAGUGUGACUGGGCGAGAUCGGGCCGUGCCAUGGUGAGCUUCUGCGAACUGGACGUGCGGCUCAUUUCUUGCCCUGUCGGUCAACAGUGCUGCAUGCGCGAGGAAAAGAGUAUUGGACUGUCAGCUUCGCCUACGGGUGGGUGAAUGCCUUUGCUACUACUUGCGCGUGUAGUGCCGCUUGGCUAUAUGGUUUCUUUCGACCCGUCUUGAAACACGGACCAAGGAGUCUAACAUAUGUGCGAGUUUGCAGGUGUUCAAACCUGUUAGCGCAAUGAAAGUGACUGCUAGAAAUUGUGCACUGGCAACCGACCAAUCGCUUGAGAAAGGUUUGAGUAUGAGCAUGUCUGUUAGGACCCGAAAGAUGGUGAACUAUGCCCGUGAAGGGCAAACUCAGGGGAAACUCUGAUGGAGGCCCGUAGCGAUACUGACGUGCAAAUCGUUCGUCAUACAUGGGUAUGGGGGCGAAAGACUAAUCGAACCAUCUAGUAGCUGGUUCCCUCCGAAGUUUCCCUCAGAUAGCUGGAGUUGACAGCAUUAUCAGUAAAGCGAAUGAU